This 339-nucleotide unclassified non-coding RNA is filed under the name soil metagenome. Its description in RNAcentral is "partial contains 5.8S ribosomal RNA, internal transcribed spacer 2, and large subunit ribosomal RNA". The stretch from base 1 to 120 matches the Rfam family "5.8S ribosomal RNA", at positions 35 to 154 of the family's 154-position model. The record is from RNAcentral.
GAUGAAGAACGCAGCGAAAUGCGAUAACUAAUGUGAAUUGCAGAAUUCAGUGAAUCAUCGAGUCUUUGAACGCACAUUGCGCCCCCUGGUAUUCCGGGGGGCAUGCCUGUCCGAGCGUCAUUGCUGCCCUCAAGCACGGCUUGUGUGUUGGGCUCCGUCCCCCCGGGGACGGGCCCGAAAGGCAGCGGCGGCACCGAGUCCGGUCCUCGAGCGUAUGGGGCUUUGUCACCCGCUCUGUAGGCCCGGCCGGCGCCAGCCGACAACCCAUCAUCCUUUUCAGGUUGACCUCGGAUCAGGUAGGGAUACCCGCUGAACUUAAGCAUAUCAAUAAGCUGAGGA